CAGUAGCCGCGGGAAAACGGAGGAUCCAAGCGUUAUCCGGAAUCAUUGGGUUUAAAGGGUCCGUAGGCGGUCUUGUAAGUCAGUGGUGAAAGCCCAUCGCUCAACGGUGGAACGGCCAUUGAUACUGCAGGACUUGAAUUAUUGGGAAGUAACUAGAAUAUGUAGUGUAGCGGUGAAAUGCUUAGAGAUUACAUGGAAUACCAAUUGCGAAGGCAGGUUACUACCAAUUGAUUGACGCUGAUGGACGAAAGCGUGGGUAGCGAACAGGAUUAGAUACCCGCGUAGUCCCUGUCUCUUAUAC
This 301-nucleotide ribosomal RNA is filed under the name uncultured bacterium. RNAcentral's name for it is "partial 16S ribosomal RNA". It matches the Rfam family "Bacterial small subunit ribosomal RNA", at positions 509 to 807 of the family's 1533-position model. The record is from RNAcentral.